This 86-nucleotide non-coding RNA is filed under the name fish gut metagenome. The record is from RNAcentral.
AAAAGGGGUGCCCCGCCUGCCGGGAGCUGAGAAUAGACCCGUUGAACCUGCACGGAUAAUGCCGACGAAGGGAAGAUUAUUUUUAA